GAGAAAAGCUCAUACAUUAUCAUCAGUGAAUGAAGAAGAAGAGGAGGAGGAUAAGCAAAGAAAGAAGGCUCAUCUCGAUAAUAAGGAAGAUAAAAUAAUAAAUUCAGGAAACC
Long non-coding RNA from Ipomoea nil (Japanese morning glory), 113 nucleotides. RefSeq lists it as uncharacterized. Lineage: Eukaryota; Viridiplantae; Streptophyta; Magnoliopsida; Solanales; Convolvulaceae. The record is from RefSeq and is a predicted model, not a curated record. The transcript is spliced from 3 exons.